Non-coding RNA from Microcebus murinus (gray mouse lemur), 3084 nucleotides. Lineage: Eukaryota; Metazoa; Chordata; Mammalia; Primates; Cheirogaleidae. The record is from RefSeq and is a predicted model, not a curated record.
GGAGAGGAGAGGAGAGGAGAGGAGAGGAGAGGAGAGGAGAGGGAGAUCUGGAGCUAGGUCACAUCUGGACAGGGCACAAGUCAGAGGUGGAGCCAGAACAAAUAAUGAAACUAAAGAAUGAAAGAGAAAUGGGCGGACAGCUCAUGAACGGAGGAGCAAUAGACCGUUCAGUGGGAACAGGGAAUGCAUGUGAAGGAAAGACGAAGAUGAUUUCUCUGUGCGUGGCCCGAAGGACAGUGAUUUAAAAAAAGCUCAGAGUGAAAGGAAAGGAAGGGAAGGGGGAAAAGGGAAUAAGUAAGAAGACAAAAUAAUCACUAAGUGCACAAGGACUGAUCUAAAUGCUCAGAAAAUCGCCAGGCUGCUAGGCGGAGCUGGAAGGAGCGCCGCAGCCAUACCCCAGAGAGGACCAUCAGGAAGACAGCGGCAGGCAAUUUAAGUAGCUAGCUACUGGGGUAAAAUGAGAGAGAAAAAAAAAAAAAAUAGAAGCUAGAAAAGGUGAGAAGCAGGAGAGGGAAAGCCCAGAGGAGACACUGGCCCAGAAACCUUUUUAACUUUCUGUUAAGAAUCUUCAAGGCCCCAAACUAGGCCAAGAUUCUGACUGACAUUUCUGAGCUCACCAGCUGCUGUUUCCUUGGGAGAAUUCUGACAGCAAGGCACAGGAACGCGAGCCAACGCGGCCGGCUCUGGAAAAUAAAUAAAUAAAUAAGUAGCUCCCGCGUCCUCCCGCACCACCUCGGAGGGGGCCCGGAGCCCGCCCUGCCCUGCCGGGGUGGAAGAAAGGAAGCCCCCAGAGGAGGAGGGACCCUCCUGCACGACUUUCCCCAGAGCUCCUGAGCUGGAGUCCAUCUGGCAGAACUCCACUUGGCUGAUUAAAAACGGUUCUGAGUCUCCUGAUGAGUAGUUUCCACAACUUCAGAGAUUAAAUGAAAGUUACUUGCUACAAAAGAAGAAAAACGUGCAAAGGACGGGCUGGAGUUGAAAGUGAAAAUUCUGGCCUCAAGAGCAGUCAGAAUUGUUUCUAGGACGUUCCCAUACCCCUGACAGCGUCCACUGUGCCGACCAGGGUCUCAAUGCACCUUUCCUUUUGUGCUGUUAAGCCUUGCAACAAGCAGGCAAGGUAGGUACGCUCUCCUGCUGCACACAGGUAGAAACUGAGGUUUAAAAACGUUAUGUAACUUCCUAAAAGCAAAAGAGCCAGGAAAGCAAAUCCGUGGGAUUUGAACUCAAUGUAAAUGUGACUCCACACAACACACUUUCCACUUGAUUAUAUUGCCCUUCAUCAGGAAGAGAAAAUAAAAGGACAGGCAAUGCCUAGCCCCGAGGGGGGAGGACAGUUUUCUAGCAUCACUCAAACUACCCUUUCUGCCUACCUCUUCCCCAAGCUGCUCCUACACAUGUGAAGACAGGCAGGCCACCUUUAAGGGGAGUGUCUCCUCAAUCAGCUUUCUCACGCUGCGCUAGAAACAGGGAGGAACCAGAGGAUACUCCCGCCAGCCCUGAGGUUCUCGAAUGUUAGCUGCAUCAGAAUCACCGGAAGGGAAGAUGACAACACACAUCUCUGGGCCUCGCCCCAGACGUUUGGGGCUGGCAAAUGUCACCUUCCUUUUGCAAGGUCAACCUACAAGUUCUUACACACUGAAAUCCAAGCCUCUCCUUUAAAAUCUGCAAGAAUCAAGGACUUCCCCACCUCCCUGGAGAAACUAUGUAGUCAAUUCUACCCAUUUGUCAAACCAAACAACCUCAAUGUCUAUGGCUGGGAGAAUAAAUCAAUAAAUUGUAAUAUAUUCACAUAGUAGAAAACCAUAAAAUAAUGAAAAUUAAUAAACUACAGCUAUCACAUCAAUAUGGAUGAAUCUUAUAAAUAUCAUUUUAAAUGAAAAUAUCAAGUCACAGAAGAAUACCUAUGAUAUGAUGCCAUUGUAUAUUAAAAUACACAAAUAUAUUGUUUAGGAAUAUAUGCACAAAUGAUAAAAACUAUAGAGGAAAAUAUUUACAUUAUAAGAAAAAAAGAAAUUUGGUGUUAUUGUUGCCUCCCGGGGGGAAACAAACAUAAAGAGAUAAAUUGGGGAAAGUAUUCAGGAAGUCUCAACACUACAGAACAGUAAAAAAAAAAAAGUUCUUUUCUUAAGGAAGAUGGUUGUUCAUGAGUAUUGGUUUUAUCACCAUAUGCCAUUACUUACAUAUGUAUUACAUAUAUUCUUUUAUAAAUAUACUUGAAUUAAAAAUAAAUUCUUAAAAAUUAAAAUGUAAGAUAAUCAAAGAACAUACACCAAAAUUUCACAUUUAUUCUGCAAGAUGGGAAGAGGGAGAAUUAUGGGAUACUGUCACUUUCCAUAUUAUAUAAUUCUAUGUCAUUUUUGCUCUUCGUGAUGUUUCUUUUUGAAAAAAAGAAUAAAGAUUACAGAAACAAUACAUUGAAGUCAUGCAAUGCAAAAUACAAAUAAUGCAUGAUUUUCACAAGCCAUCCCGAGCAAGGCAAGCUCCCGGGGUUUGGCACACGCUAACGCUGGUUCUCUCUGUGUUAUAGGCUCCAACACGCGACGCUCGGGACCUGCCAAGGUAUCCGCACACCAGAGGCUGCGGUCGCCUUUGAAAGGAGAUGCCCCCUGCUCUGGCUGGUCAAACGGAACCAAGUCCGUCUUCCUGAGAGGUUUGGUCCCCUUCAACCAGCUACAGCAGGGCUGGCAAUGCUCAGUCCUCGGAGAGCAGAAGAGAUUCGCCCGUGGCUGAAAUUUACCUACUAAAACUUUCCUGGAGGAAACAAUUCUGGUGUUUUUUUUCCAUCAUACUCUCAGGCUCCUAAGAAAGAAGAAAAGAGGAGUCCCGGGUUCAAAAGUGAGCGAGAUUUUCAUGCUCAACACACAGAGCCCAGUGCCUUUGCACCCACAGCUAGCGGUACCCACACACUCUUGACACACAGAGUCAGGGAAGAUUUUGAGGGUGGAGUUUGUGCCGGCCCUAAGGCAGCCAGGGGAAGAGUAUGGGACUUAGAAAACAGGAUUUCCACUGGCCAGGGACUAACAAUCUAAGUUAAAAAAUUGGAUAUGUGAAUAUGGAAACGAUUCGAUGCAAUUGCAAGUCAGA